GAUGAACGCUGGCGGCGCGCCUAACACAUGCAAGUCGAACGGCACCCACCCUCGGGUGGAAGCGAGUGGCGAACGGCUGAGUAACACGUGGAGAACCCGCCCCCUCCUCCGGGAUAGCCUCGGGAAACCGUGGGUAAUACCGGAUGACCCCGCAGGGCCGCAUGGCCCCGCGGGCAAAGCCCAGACGGGAGGGGAUGGCUCCGCGGCCCAUCAGGUAGACGGCGGGGUGACGGCCCACCGUGCCGACGACGGGUAGCCGGGUUGAGAGACCGGCCGGCCAGAUUGGGACUGAGACACGGCCCAGACUCCUACGGGAGGCAGCAGUGGGGAAUCUUGCGCAAUGGGGGGAACCCUGACGCAGCGACGCCGCGUGCGGGACGAAGGCCCUCGGGUCGUAAACCGCUUUCAGCAGGGAUGAGACAAGACGGUAC
Molecule: ribosomal RNA, 431 nt
Filed under: uncultured bacterium
Lineage: Bacteria
Description: bacterial SSU rRNA
Rfam family: Bacterial small subunit ribosomal RNA
Source: RNAcentral